UGAAUAAUUUUUAUAGCGUAAAAGCUAAAUAAAUUUAUACAUACUGUAAUACAGUAAGCCAAAAUAUUUAAUUUAAUUUACAAUAACAAGAGGGCCCCCGAAUAAACAAAAGUAAAGAGGACUGUGAACCUACGAUUUGGAAAAUACAGAUCCAACGGUAGUCCUCGAUGAGAUCAGCUAUCUACAGUCUAUACUGAACCU
This 201-nucleotide long non-coding RNA is filed under the name Theobroma cacao (cacao). RNAcentral's name for it is "long non-coding RNA (TCAC_LNC006397)". The record is from RNAcentral. Lineage: Eukaryota; Viridiplantae; Streptophyta; Magnoliopsida; Malvales; Malvaceae.